This 118-nucleotide ribosomal RNA is filed under the name Fasciola hepatica (liver fluke). The record is from RNAcentral. Lineage: Eukaryota; Metazoa; Platyhelminthes; Trematoda; Plagiorchiida; Fasciolidae.
UUGACCAUACCAUGUUGUAAACACCGGUCCUCGUCUGAUUACUGAAGCUGAGCAACGUCGGACCUAGCUAUUAUUUUCAUGGGUGACUGGAUGGAAAUACCGGAUGUUGCGGCCGUCC